GACGAACGCUGGCGGCGUGCUUAACACAUGCAAGUCGAGCGAGCGGCGAACGGGUGAGUAACGCGUGAGGAACCUGCCUUUCACAGGGGAAUAACACUGGGAAACCAGUGCUAAUACCGCAUAUUGAAAGAUGGCCUCGCGCCUGAUUAGCUAGUAGGUGAGGUAACGGCUCACCUAGGUGAUGAUCAGUAGCCGGACUGAAGGUUGAUCGGCCGAAUUGGGAACGGUGAACCGCCCCAAAUCCUAAGGGAUGGAUGAGGUGGGAAGAUUGGGGCAAUGCGCAAGGCUGAACCAGCAAACCCCGGUGAAGGAAGACGGGCUUUGGAUUGUAAACCUCCUUAGACAGGGACGCGGUACCUGUAGAAUAAGCCACGGCUAACUACGUGCCAGCAGCCGCGGUAAUUC
This 405-nucleotide ribosomal RNA is filed under the name uncultured bacterium. RNAcentral describes it as "partial 16S ribosomal RNA". It matches the Rfam family "Bacterial small subunit ribosomal RNA", at positions 28 to 526 of the family's 1533-position model. The record is from RNAcentral.